RNAcentral lists this ribosomal RNA (253 nucleotides) under uncultured bacterium. Its description in RNAcentral is "partial 16S ribosomal RNA". It matches the Rfam family "Bacterial small subunit ribosomal RNA", at positions 524 to 776 of the family's 1533-position model. The record is from RNAcentral.
UACAGAGGUCUCAAGCGUUGUUCGGAUUCAUUGGGCGUAAAGGGUGCGUAGGCGGCGCGGUAAGUCGGGUGUGAAAUCUCGGAGCUUAACUCCGAAACUGCAUUCGAUACUGCCGUGCUUGAGGACUGGAGAGGAGACUGGAAUUUACGGUGUAGCGGUGAAAUGCGUAGAUAUCAGGAGGAACACCGAUGGCGAAGGCAGGUCUCUGGGCAUUAACUGACGCUGAGGAGCGAAAGCUAGGGGAGCGAAUGGG